RNAcentral lists this ribosomal RNA (199 nucleotides) under uncultured bacterium. RNAcentral describes it as "partial 16S ribosomal RNA". It matches the Rfam family "Bacterial small subunit ribosomal RNA", at positions 328 to 539 of the family's 1533-position model. The record is from RNAcentral.
ACGCUCGACACCUACGGGAGGCAGCAGUGGGGAAUAUUGCACAAUGGGGGAAACCCUGAUGCAGCGAUGCCGCGUGAAGGAAGAAGUAUCUCGGUAUGUAAACUUCUAUCAGCAGGGAANAAAAUGACGGUACCUGACUAAGAACGCCCCGGCUAACUACGUGCCAGCAGCCACGGUAAUCUGAGCGGGCUGGCAAGGC